This 3378-nucleotide ribosomal RNA is filed under the name Staphylococcus argenteus. RNAcentral describes it as "bacterial LSU rRNA". It matches the Rfam family "Bacterial large subunit ribosomal RNA". Lineage: Bacteria; Bacillati; Bacillota; Bacilli; Caryophanales; Staphylococcaceae. The record is from RNAcentral.
UUAAGUUAUUAAGGGCGCACGGUGGAUGCCUUGGCACUAGAAGCCGAUGAAGGACGUUACUAACGACGAUAUGCUUUGGGGAGCUGUAAGUAAGCUUUGAUCCAGAGAUUUCCGAAUGGGGAAACCCAACAUGAGUUAUGUCAUGUUAUCGAUAUGUGAAUACAUAGCAUAUCAGAAGGCACACCCGGAGAACUGAAACAUCUUAGUACCCGGAGGAAGAGAAAGAAAAUUCGAUUCCCUUAGUAGCGGCGAGCGAAACGGGAAGAGCCCAAACCAACAAGCUUGCUUGUUGGGGUUGUAGGACACUCUAUACGGAGUUACAAAGGACGACAUUAGACGAAUCAUCUGGAAAGAUGAAUCAAAGAAGGUAAUAAUCCUGUAGUCGAAAAUGUUGUCUCUCUUGAGUGGAUCCUGAGUACGACGGAGCACGUGAAAUUCCGUCGGAAUCUGGGAGGACCAUCUCCUAAGGCUAAAUACUCUCUAGUGACCGAUAGUGAACCAGUACCGUGAGGGAAAGGUGAAAAGCACCCCGGAAGGGGAGUGAAAUAGAACCUGAAACCGUGUGCUUACAAGUAGUCAGAGCCCGUUAAUGGGUGAUGGCGUGCCUUUUGUAGAAUGAACCGGCGAGUUACGAUUUGAUGCAAGGUUAAGCAGUAAAUGUGGAGCCGUAGCGAAAGCGAGUCUGAAUAGGGCGUUUAGUAUUUGGUCGUAGACCCGAAACCAGGUGAUCUACCCUUGGUCAGGUUGAAGUUCAGGUAACACUGAAUGGAGGACCGAACCGACUUACGUUGAAAAGUGAGCGGAUGAACUGAGGGUAGCGGAGAAAUUCCAAUCGAACCUGGAGAUAGCUGGUUCUCUCCGAAAUAGCUUUAGGGCUAGCCUCAAGUGAUGAUUAUUGGAGGUAGAGCACUGUUUGGACGAGGGGCCCCUCUCGGGUUACCGAAUUCAGACAAACUCCGAAUGCCAAUUAAUUUAACUUGGGAGUCAGAACAUGGGUGAUAAGGUCCGUGUUCGAAAGGGAAACAGCCCAGACCACCAGCUAAGGUCCCAAAAUAUAUGUUAAGUGGAAAAGGAUGUGGCGUUGCCCAGACAACUAGGAUGUUGGCUUAGAAGCAGCCAUCAUUUAAAGAGUGCGUAAUAGCUCACUAGUCGAGUGACACUGCGCCGAAAAUGUACCGGGGCUAAACAUAUUACCGAAGCUGUGGAUUGUCCUUUGGACAAUGGUAGGAGAGCGUUCUAAGGGCGUUGAAAAGUGAGCGGAUGAACUGAGGGUAGCGGAGAAAUUCCAAUCGAACCUGGAGAUAGCUGGUUCUCUCCGAAAUAGCUUUAGGGCUAGCCUCAAGUGAUGAUUAUUGGAGGUAGAGCACUGUUUGGACGAGGGGCCCCUCUCGGGUUACCGAAUUCAGACAAACUCCGAAUGCCAAUUAAUUUAACUUGGGAGUCAGAACAUGGGUGAUAAGGUCCGUGUUCGAAAGGGAAACAGCCCAGACCACCAGCUAAGGUCCCAAAAUAUAUGUUAAGUGGAAAAGGAUGUGGCGUUGCCCAGACAACUAGGAUGUUGGCUUAGAAGCAGCCAUCAUUUAAAGAGUGCGUAAUAGCUCACUAGUCGAGUGACACUGCGCCGAAAAUGUACCGGGGCUAAACAUAUUACCGAAGCUGUGGAUUGUACUUUGGACAAUGGUAGGAGAGCGUUCUAAGGGCGUUGAAGCAUGAUCGUAAGGACAUGUGGAGCGCUUAGAAGUGAGAAUGCCGGUGUGAGUAGCGAAAGACGGGUGAGAAUCCCGUCUACCGAUUGACUAAGGUUUCCAGAGGAAGGCUCGUCCGCUCUGGGUUAGUCGGGUCCUAAGCUGAGGCCGACAGGCGUAGGCGAUGGAUAACAGGUUGAUAUUCCUGUACCACCUAUAAUCGUUUUAAUCGAUGGGGGGACGCAGUAGGAUAGGCGAAGCGUGCGAUUGGAUUGCACGUCUAAGCAGUAAGGCUGAGUAUUAGGCAAAUCCGGUACUCAUUAAGGCUGAGCUGUGAUGGGGAGAAGACAUUGUGUCUUCGAGUCGUUGAUUUCACACUGCCGAGAAAAGCCUCUAGAUAGAAAAUAGGUGCCCGUACCGCAAACCGACACAGGUAGUCAAGAUGAGAAUUCUAAGGUGAGCGAGCGAACUCUCGUUAAGGAACUCGGCAAAAUGACCCCGUAACUUCGGGAGAAGGGGUGCUCUUUAGGGUUAACGCCCAGAAGAGCCGCAGUGAAUAGGCCCAAGCGACUGUUUAUCAAAAACACAGGUCUCUGCUAAACCGUAAGGUGAUGUAUAGGGGCUGACGCCUGCCCGGUGCUGGAAGGUUAAGAGGAGUGGUUAGCUUCUGCGAAGCUACGAAUCGAAGCCCCAGUAAACGGCGGCCGUAACUAUAACGGUCCUAAGGUAGCGAAAUUCCUUGUCGGGUAAGUUCCGACCCGCACGAAAGGCGUAACGAUUUGGGCACUGUCUCAACGAGAGACUCGGUGAAAUCAUAGUACCUGUGAAGAUGCAGGUUACCCGCGACAGGACGGAAAGACCCCGUGGAGCUUUACUGUAGCCUGAUAUUGAAAUUCGGCACAGCUUGUACAGGAUAGGUAGGAGCCUUUGAAACGUGAGCGCUAGCUUACGUGGAGGCGCUGGUGGGAUACUACCCUAGCUGUGUUGGCUUUCUAACCCGCACCACUUAUCGUGGUGGGAGACAGUGUCAGGCGGGCAGUUUGACUGGGGCGGUCGCCUCCUAAAAGGUAACGGAGGCGCUCAAAGGUUCCCUCAGAAUGGUUGGAAAUCAUUCAUAGAGUGUAAAGGCAUAAGGGAGCUUGACUGCGAGACCUACAAGUCGAGCAGGGUCGAAAGACGGACUUAGUGAUCCGGUGGUUCCGCAUGGAAGGGCCAUCGCUCAACGGAUAAAAGCUACCCCGGGGAUAACAGGCUUAUCUCCCCCAAGAGUUCACAUCGACGGGGAGGUUUGGCACCUCGAUGUCGGCUCAUCGCAUCCUGGGGCUGUAGUCGGUCCCAAGGGUUGGGCUGUUCGCCCAUUAAAGCGGUACGCGAGCUGGGUUCAGAACGUCGUGAGACAGUUCGGUCCCUAUCCGUCGUGGGCGUAGGAAAUUUGAGAGGAGCUGUCCUUAGUACGAGAGGACCGGGAUGGACAUACCUCUGGUGUACCAGUUGUCGUGCCAACGGCAUAGCUGGGUAGCUAUGUGUGGACGGGAUAAGUGCUGAAAGCAUCUAAGCAUGAAGCCCCCCUCAAGAUGAGAUUUCCCAACUUCGGUUAUAAGAUCCCUCAAAGAUGAUGAGGUUAAUAGGUUCGAGGUGGAAGCAUGGUGACAUGUGGAGCUGACGAAUACUAAUCGAUCGAAGACUUAAUCAA